Molecule: long non-coding RNA, 914 nt
Filed under: Malus domestica (apple)
Lineage: Eukaryota; Viridiplantae; Streptophyta; Magnoliopsida; Rosales; Rosaceae
Description: long non-coding RNA (MDOM_LNC015423)
Source: RNAcentral
UUUGCGGUUUUGGGUUUGCACUUCUCUUCGACUCCCGACUGCUUCUGCGCCUUGCAUCUCUGCCUUUGCCUCUGCAAUCUGCAUCUCUGCCUUUGCCUUUGCGACUGCGACUGCCUGCUUGCAUCUCUGCCUCUGUGACUGUGACCUCACUGAGUCACUGCUUGCCUUGCAUCCCCAGAUCCCCUUCAUCUGCAAGCCCUAAUCUCUGCAAAUCAAAAGCUCUGCAAAACAGACUUGGCAAAUCAUUCACAUGCUCUUCGUUCCAGCUAAUAUGGUAAAAACUUAGAACUUGUAUUACUUAGAACUAGUAUCAUUCAUCAAUUUAAUCUGUUUUUAUGUUGAUCUAUAUAUAUAGCUAGUUUUGAGAUAUUAGAUUAAGCAACUGUUUAGCUGAGGGCGUUGUAUUUAGUAUUACAUUUGCAUAAUCUCCUUAUGGUUUACAUAUUAUUUUUCAUUUUGUUUCAAUCUAUUUUAUCAGUUUUGGACCUUUCAAUUUGUUUUCAGGUGAUUCCUCUCUCAUGGAUUAUUUUUUGUGGAUUUUCAUAUGCAAAUUAUGCUAAAAUUAUGAUGUAAUGUUCUUUAGAUCUCUGUUAAUGUUUUCGUUUGCAAACACGGUCGGUUCUCGGUUGCGAAAGACAAUAUUUCUUUUUGUGUUUUAGAAUGAAAUAGAAUACGCUUUGUGUCAAUUUUAUGAUCUGAGUUACUUGUCGAACUAGGUUAUUUCGGGUUUGAUGUGUUUGAAUUUGUUCUGGGAGCAUUCGAGUAGUUAGAAACUGAAACCCCUAAGUUAAUGAGAAACCAUGUAGUCCUUUUAUUUGGUUUGUCAUGGAUGUGUUCUUUGUCUUCUGCAAACAUCUUAUUGUUUCUGGUUAUGUUUUUAUUUGCUCAAGCUUGCUUGAUUUGGCUGCUUAUAG